Molecule: long non-coding RNA, 1957 nt
Organism: Myotis davidii
Lineage: Eukaryota; Metazoa; Chordata; Mammalia; Chiroptera; Vespertilionidae
Exons: 2
Source: RefSeq, a predicted model, not a curated record
UUUGGAAAAGGCUCCCCGCCUGUCCUCUCUCCAAAGCUGCUACCUGGGGCCCGAGGGGGGUCUGCGGCGGCCCCUGCGGUGGCAGCAGUGCGUCCCCUCGGCCCGUGCCUGUCCAGGCUGCCGGCUGUGCGGGCACUGGGGCGUCAGGCCGGGCACCACCACCCCCUCCAGCACCGCUGCUCCCCGUCCCCAUCACCCAACUCGUCACAGAUGCUUCAAAGAAUCUGGGGUCACCCCAAGCACUUCCUCGGAACUGAAAUGAGAAAUGGGCCCAUGUGACUGACGAGGGGAAAUGUUUCGACUCUGAAGUUAAAAAGGGAAGAGCUCGCCUGCUGAGCUGUCCACCUGCUGGCUCUCAGCCUGUGGGGCGCGUCCUGGCUGAGGGUCCUUUCUGGCCUGGCCUCAGCCCCCCUCUCCCUGCUGGGGCCAAGCUGGGGGCCCCCCACCCACAGCCUGAGGGCCAUGUCAGCCAGGAGUACGUGUGGGGGCCAGGAGCCAGCUGAGCGGGUCCCCGGGUGGCGAGGAGGUCCUGGGGUGUGAGGUCGUCAGACGGGAGAGGUCAGCAGGGCCCACUGCUCUGGGUGAUGCCUCACCUGUGAGCAUGGCCGCCGCUGCGGGGGUGCCCACCUCUGCCCGCAGGGCCUGGCCUGGAGCUUCGCCUGCGGCUGAGUGACAGGAGGCCUGGCUCACGCUCUGCCCACCUCCGGGCAGUGGCGGUCUGCACGCCACGCAGGACGGAAGUGAAAUCUCUUCGCGAGCCGGGGCGCCCAGUGGCUGCUCGUUAUUUUAGAAGAGGGUUGGGGACGUCUGGCCAGUGGGAGCCGCAAGCGCGGCUCUUCACUCAGUUCCUGCCCCCGCGCCUCCAGGGCAGUGGGAAGCCACUGUCCUCUCUGCCCCACUGUCCCCUCUGCCCCACUGUCCCCUCUGCCCCGGCCACGGGCGGGCGCAGCAGAGAGAGGAGGAUGCAAGGCCUCUGGCUCGUCCUGCCUCUCGGGCCUCCUCUGCAGUUUGCUAGUUUGAUUCAUCCAGACAGUUACUGGCAGUUCACUCUGCGUCAGAGACAAAAAGGGAAGUCAGGGAGGCGGGGCCGAGGGACUCCGCAGGGGAGACAUGGGGCGGCCUGUCUAGCGUGUGGGUCCAGGGAUUAGGGCGCUUUGACCUAAGUUUUCUCACUGAGCCGGGUCCCAGGAGCUCACCCUGCCCUGCCCCGCGAGCUGGAACGGGUCUGACUCUGAUGGAAGUGGCUUUUCCCUCGUGGCCUGAAGGGUGUCAAACAGCCCGCGGCCUCCUAAGCUCUGAGCCUCUACUGGUCAGGUUACCUGGGCCAGAUAUUUUUUAAUCAGUAAAAAUGAGUUUUAAAAUCUAACAUGUUAAGCUUGGCCCUCCCUUCUCCUGGUCCCCCUGAAUUGCCUGGGCUCACGUUCUAACAGGACGGGGUGGGGGGGAUGGGGACAGGGUCCCACUCAGAUCCGCCGAGUUCUGACCCAGCAGCUGGGCAUGUGCGGGAGCGUCGAACCCAAUACUGAGGUUUUUUUUUAUCUGACCGAUGAUUCUGUAAAGGUAAUUGGGGGGCGGGGUGGGCGCUGUGAGGGCUGGGUGUGUGUGUGAGCGUGUUUUUACGGUGGCUGUCUAAAGUAUUUUUACAACAUGUUUAAUAAUCAGUGCUUUAAAAGCAGUGGUUUCCUACAAAGUGGAAACUAAGGUCUAAGCCUGGGAGUGAUGUCUGGUCUGGGGGCCGGGGCAGCGGGAGCCCGGCCUGCCUUCCCAUUUCGACGGGAUACAGUACUUUUUUAAAAGGAGCCAUACUUUUUUUUAAAGUUUGAGAAAUGAAUGUGAUUUCUAAUUGUCUCAGACAUUAAUGUUUUAAAGCUAUAACAAAGUUUAAAAUUUCUACAUUUCGUUUUUCAUUUAUUGUAACUGUUCUUUUAUCUAUUAAAUUGUAUGUUGAUGGGCAAGU